AGUGAACGCUGGCGGCGUGCCUAACACAUGCAAGUCGAACGAGAAAGCCCGCAAGGGUGAGUACAGUGGCGCACGGGUGAGUAAUACAUAGGAAUCUGCCUCUGAGUGAAGAAUACCCUAGAGAAAUUUAGGUUAAUACUGCAUAAGCCCAGAAAUGGGGAAAGGUGGCCUCAAGCUACCGCUGAGAGAUGAGCCUAUGGCCUAUUAGCUAGUUGGUAGGGUAAAAGCCUACCAAGGCGAGGAUGGGUAGCCGGCCUGAGAGGGUGUACGGCCACACUGGAACUGAGACACGGUCCAGACUCCUACGGGAGGCAGCAGUGGGGAAUCUUGCGCAAUGGGCGAAAGCCUGACGCAGCAAUGCCGCGUGAGGGAAGACGGCCUUAGGGUUGUAAACCUCUUUCAGCAGGGACGAACACAGACGGUACCUGCAGAAGAAGCCCCGGCUAACUACGCGCCAGCAGCCGCCGUAA
Molecule: ribosomal RNA, 470 nt
Filed under: uncultured bacterium
Lineage: Bacteria
Description: partial 16S ribosomal RNA
Rfam family: Bacterial small subunit ribosomal RNA
Source: RNAcentral